Molecule: ribosomal RNA, 559 nt
Filed under: uncultured bacterium
Lineage: Bacteria
Description: bacterial SSU rRNA
Rfam family: Bacterial small subunit ribosomal RNA
Source: RNAcentral
CCUACGGGAGGCAGCAGUGGGGAAUAUUGGACAAUGGGCGAAAGCUGAUCCAGCAAUGCCGCGUGAGUGAUGAAGGCCUUAGGGUUGUAAAGCUCUUUUACCAGGGAUGAUAAUGACAGUACCUGGAGAAUAAGCUCCGGCUAACUCCGUGCCAGCAGCCGCGGUAAUACGGAGGGAGCUAGCGUUGUUCGGAAUUACUGGGCGUAAAGCGUGCGUAGGCGGCUAUUCAAGUCAGAGGUGAAAGCCUGGAGCUCAACUCCAGAACUGCCUUUGAAACUAGAUAGCUAGAAUCUUGGAGAGGUGAGUGGAAUUCCGAGUGUAGAGGUGAAAUUCGUAGAUAUUCGGAAGAACACCAGUGGCGAAGGCGACUCACUGGACAAGUAUUGACGCUGAGGUACGAAAGCGUGGGGAGCAAACAGGAUUAGAUACCCUGGUAGUCCACGCCGUAAACGAUGAUAACUAGCUGUCCGGGCUCUCAGAGCUUGGGUGGCGCAGUAACGCAUUAAGUUAUCCGCCUGGGGAGUACGGUCGCAAGAUUAAAACUCAAAUGAAUUGACGG